Non-coding RNA from Macaca mulatta (Rhesus monkey), 428 nucleotides. Lineage: Eukaryota; Metazoa; Chordata; Mammalia; Primates; Cercopithecidae. The record is from RefSeq and is a predicted model, not a curated record.
AAGGCUUCAGAGUACUAGACCUAGUAUUGAAAGAAGGCUGGGGACAAAAUGCCAGUGUUUACUUGAGCUUCAGAUUCUGCUUUUUAUUCAUGCAGGUACCUUUUGAGAUGGACGGUAACUGGAAUCAAUGCCCCGAGCCAAAGAUUCAUCAAGCAGUGCUUUUAGCUUUUCAGCAGAAUCUUUACUCUUUGAAUGUAAGAAACCUAGUGCUUUCAAAAAAAUGGGAUCAAGUUCCAAGUUCACAGUAGCAGCCAUUGCAAACACCUGAAGGAAAAAAAAGAGGACGUAAUUUAGAAGACAAUGCACAAUUAUCUAUGUCAAAGUUUUACUUUUCUGUUUUUAAAUUUAUAAUAGAUAAUACUGUGUACAUGAUAUAAAAUGUAAAAUUAUCAAAAAGUUAUUACAAAUAAAAGUAAAUUUCCUUCUUA